CUUCAUUAUUCUUAUUACAAGACCUAUGUUACAAAAAAUUAUACUCAAUUAUUUACUUUGGGUUUACAGUUAAAAUUUUGUAGCCAGGUGUGAUGUCAUGCACCUUAGUCCCAGCUAUUCUGGAGACUGAGGCAGGAGGAUCGCUUGAGCCCAGGAGCUCUGGGCUGUAGUGUGCUAUACCAAUUGUGUGUUCACACUCAGUUCAGCAUCAUUAUGGUGACUUCCUGGGAGCAAGGGACCACCAGGUUGCCUAAGGAGGGGUAAACCAGCCCAGGUCAGAAAUGGAGCAGGUUAAAACUCCUGUGCUGAUUGGUAGUGGGGUCGCACCUGUGAAUAGCCACUGCACUCCAGCCUGGGCAACUUCAUGAGACCCCAUCUCUUUAAAAAAACAAAAACAAAAACAGGCCGGGCAUGGUGGCUCAUGCCUGUAAUUCUAGCACUUUGGGAGGCCUAGGUGGGCAGAUUGCCUGAGCUCAGGAGUUAAAGACCAGCCUGGGCAACACGGUGAAAUCCUGCCUCUACUAAAAUUUAAAAAAAAAUUAGCUGGGCGUGGCGGUGGGUGCCUGUAGUCCCAUCUACUUGGGACACUGAGGCAGGAGAAUUGCUGGAACCCAGGAGGUGGAGGUUGCAGUGAGCCGAGAUCGCACCACUGCACUCCAGCCUGGGCAACAGAGUGAGAUUCCAUCUCUAAAAACAACAACAACAACAACAACAAAUAUCUUGUAGAAACACAUUUCAUCGCUUGUUAUAUGAAUACCUGCAUAAUAUCCUGGACUUUGCCUUUCUGCCUGCAAGCCUCUGUCAGCCCUCAAUUAAUGAGUUGUCUUAUCUUCCACCUCAAAUCUAUCUUAAGCUAUCCACCCUCCACUUUGCAGCCAGAAGGAUCUUUCUAAUGUAAGUCUGACCAUACCAUUCACCUGAUUCAAACUUCCCAGUGGUCUAUCUGUCCAGCUCCUUGGCUGGCAUACAGCCCGCACAGUCUGGUUUCUGUCUUCCUUCCCAGCCACUCUCUACCCUCCAGCCAUAUUGAACUUCCAGUUCUCUAGGGCACCUUGCUUCCCCCAGGACCAGCAUUUUACACAAGCUGUUCCCUCUGCCUAAGAUGCUGUUCACUACUCAAAUUCAAUUCCUCCUUAGUCUUUUAAGUCAUUUUAGACAUUAACU
Molecule: long non-coding RNA, 1164 nt
Filed under: Homo sapiens (human)
Lineage: Eukaryota; Metazoa; Chordata; Mammalia; Primates; Hominidae
Description: HSALNT0178386
Rfam family: Metazoan signal recognition particle RNA (bases 83-381)
Source: RNAcentral